UACGGAGGGUGCAAGCGUUAUCCGGAUUUACUGGGUUUAAAGGGUGCGUAGGCGGGUUGUUAAGUCAGUGGUGAAAGAUUCGAGCUUAACUCGGAAACUGCCAUUGAUACUGAUGACCUUGAAUACAGUUGAGGUAGGCGGAAUGUGUCAUGUAGCGGUGAAAUGCUUAGAUAUGACACAGAACACCGAUUGCGAAGGCAGCUUGCUAAACUGUGAUUGACGCUGAGGCACGAAAGCGUGGGGAUCAAACAGG
This 253-nucleotide ribosomal RNA is filed under the name uncultured bacterium. Its description in RNAcentral is "partial 16S ribosomal RNA". It matches the Rfam family "Bacterial small subunit ribosomal RNA", at positions 524 to 776 of the family's 1533-position model. The record is from RNAcentral.